RNAcentral lists this ribosomal RNA (352 nucleotides) under uncultured bacterium. RNAcentral's name for it is "bacterial SSU rRNA". It matches the Rfam family "Bacterial small subunit ribosomal RNA", at positions 28 to 372 of the family's 1533-position model. The record is from RNAcentral.
GACGAACGCUGACGGUGUGCUUUAGACAUGCAAGUCGAACGAGAAAGCCCUUCGGGUUAGGUAAAGUGGCGAACUGGUGAGUAACACGUGGGCAAUCUGCCCCUCGCAGGGGGACGAACCGGAGGAAACCCCGGCUAAUACCCCGUAAGUUCAAAGGGAGGCAUCUCCCUUCGAAGAAAGGUAGCUUCGGCCAUCCGGCGAGGGAUGAGCCCGCGGUGCAUUAGCUAGUUGGUGGGGUAACGGCCCACCAAGGCGACGANGCAUAGCUGGUCUGAGAGGAUGAUCAGCCACACUGGGACUGAGACACGGCCCAGACUCCUACGGGAGGCAGCAGUCGGGAAUCUUGCGCAAU